AAAAAAAUUAAAUUAUGCAAAAGAGAUAAGGAGAGUAUUCCAAUAUAGUCCUCCCACACUUCCAACGAUGAUGAGAAGAUGUAUGCUGCAGCCUUAUCCACAUAUGAAAAUGUGGUUUCUUAGAGUUUUGAAUCCGUGACGACCAGGUCAUAAUGGAACAACCUUACCACCCUGUCAAGACCAAUCGUAUCCACAUAUGAAGAUGUGGUUUCUUAAGUUUUGAAUU
Molecule: long non-coding RNA, 226 nt
Filed under: Actinidia chinensis (golden kiwifruit)
Lineage: Eukaryota; Viridiplantae; Streptophyta; Magnoliopsida; Ericales; Actinidiaceae
Description: long non-coding RNA (ACHI_LNC005826)
Source: RNAcentral